GUGCAAACAAAAUAUUUGACUGUAUUUUGUGUAGAAUUAUGAAUAUUUGGGGUUAUUAUGGGUUAUGUACAGUUAGCUAUGACACAUCUGGACAACUUUUCAAUCCUGUGUAUCAUACUCAUAAUCAGUAUUAUGAGUAUGAUACAACACUGAAAAUAUUAUAUGAACCCCAAUGCCAUGUGACCCUAUUACAUCUCAUAGAACACAUAAUUAUGUAUUCAGAUGGUGGGCUACUGAACAAGCAUCUCACUGAACAUGCAUCACUAAUUCGGUUAUUCAAUCAUUUUGUUGUGUCCACUUCAAGCCUGCACAACUAUACUAGCAGUGGUCUCUGACAAACCAAAGAUGUGUGACUUGUUCAGCACUUUGAGUGCCAUGUGGAGCUCUAAUGGUUCAUAAACAAAUCAAAUCAAUUUAGCUGAUUAGUGUCUAAAUGCAUUUGAGUGUUCUGUCAUUCACAGUUAAUUGGCAUUGCUUCCAUUUCAAUCUGACAUGAUUUGAUUGUGUUGUGAAGACCAUUGAGUUUCAAAGUAACCCUCUGUUUCUCCAAAUAAGAGCAACCCCAGCUAGCACAUAACGUUCUGAGAACCAUAUGUUUCUUAGAGCUUGGUGAGAGCAUGGUUGUCCUUUGGUUAUUUUGCCACAAUGCUCUGGGAAUGGUGCAAGAUACCCAGAUACAUAACGUUGUGAGAACCACAUGUUUCUUAGGUGGGAAUUUCAGUACAUAAUGUUUUCUGCAGGUUUCCUCGUGGUUCUAUGUAAGGAUGUUCUCAGAACAUUAAAGCUUUCCAUAAAAAAAAAGUUACUAAAAACAGUAACAUUCAGAGUGUUCUACAAAUGUUAUUUAAAAACAUAAUUUCCGUUCUCAGAAUGUUAAUUACACCUCCCGGGAAAACUUUCAGGGAACCAUAGUAAAACAUUCUCAGAACCUCCCUGCAACCUAAAAAUGUACUGUACGUUCCCAGAACAGAUCAUUUUCACCUCCGUUCUUAGAACUUAAAAAAUUCACUAGGUCUAAGGCACUGAAUCUCAGUGCUAGAGGUAUCACUACACACCCGGGUUUGAUCACCGGCUGUAUCACAACUGGAUGUGAUUGUAAGUCCCAUAGGGCGGCGCACAAUUGACCCAACGUCAUCCAGGUUAGAGUUUCGCGGGGGUAUGCCGUCAUUGUAAAUAAGAAUUUGUUCUUACCUGACUUGCCUAGUGUUAUGACUCUCGCUCCUGGGUGAGGAUCAAAGAAAUUCCCCCCCUCCCACUCUCUCCCAUCAGAGAGGAAGGGGGGGAAGUUGGGCUGGCUUUAUGACUUAACAACCGGUCGUAAACUUUCUCUCUCUUGCCUUUGCAGUAUUGAGAAUGGAAUGUCUGAGUGUUACAACAGAGAGAUACUUGCCAGUACUUUAACAUCAAAAGAUUGGACAUUGAAACAAUAUUUCUAACUUAAAGAAUGUGGGAAAUGGUCGGUGGGAGUCAAACAUAAUCAUGUCAUAUCAAUUAGCAUUUUGUGAUGUCAUUACGGAUGGUAUAACAAAAUAACUGUAACUCUGAAAGUAGUCACGUCCUAAUUACCAGAUUUACAUCUAAAUGUUGUAAAACUUAUAUGAUUAAAUAUGGAACUAUUUGUGAAAAGAUAGCAAUGUGAUUUUAGCCUUCUAAAUGUUUUUCAUAAACUUUUGCCAAGUCAGUAACCACGCCCACGUGUGCACAGACAUUGUGGCAACGUGAUGGAACCGCCCUCCAAGGCGAGUGCUUACUCGCUGAAGAAUUAACAUAUUAGACCAAAACAUGCCGGGUUGCUGCCGGUGUGUAAAAUGGUCCUAGCUGUACCCUGAAUAAUCAACCAUUUAGACAAGAGAACAUGAGGAUCAUCCACAUGUUGAAAUAGUUAAAUCUCUACAGACCAGUAUGAUUGCAAUUUAAAUACAGACCAGACAGCGUGGAGUGGUGGGUACACGGCUGACAAAUGGUUUAAAACUACCAGACCAG
RNAcentral lists this long non-coding RNA (1983 nucleotides) under Salmo salar (Atlantic salmon). RNAcentral describes it as "lncRNA (ENSSSAG00000089780.1)". The record is from RNAcentral. Lineage: Eukaryota; Metazoa; Chordata; Actinopteri; Salmoniformes; Salmonidae.